GAUUAGAGUUUGAUCCUGGCUCAGAUUGAACGCUGGCGGCAGGCCUAACACAUGCAAGUCGAGCGGUAGCACAGAGAGCUUGCUCUCGGGUGACGAGCGGCGGACGGGUGAGUAAUGUCUGGGAAACUGCCUGAUGGAGGGGGAUAACUACUGGAAACGGUAGCUAAUACCGCAUAACGUCGCAAGACCAAAGUGGGGGACCUUCGGGCCUCAUGCCAUCAGAUGUGCCCAGAUGGGAUUAGCUGGUAGGUGGGGUAACGGCUCACCUAGGCGACGAUCCCUAGCUGGUCUGAGAGGAUGACCAGCCACACUGGAACUGAGACACGGUCCAGACUCCUACGGGAGGCAGCAGUGGGGAAUAUUGCACAAUGGGCGCAAGCCUGAUGCAGCCAUGCCGCGUGUGUGAAGAAGGCCUUCGGGUUGUAAAGCACUUUCAGCGGGGAGGAAGGCGGUGAGGUUAAUAACCUCAUCGAUUGACGUUACCCGCAGAAGAAGCACCGGCUAACUCCGUGCCAGCAGCCGCGGUAAUACGGAGGGUGCAAGCGUUAAUCGGAAUUACUGGGCGUAAAGCGCACGCAGGCGGUCUGUCAAGUCGGAUGUGAAAUCCCCGGGCUCAACCUGGGAACUGCAUUCGAAACUGGCAGGCUAGAGUCUUGUAGAGGGGGGUAGAAUUCCAGGUGUAGCGGUGAAAUGCGUAGAGAUCUGGAGGAAUACCGGUGGCGAAGGCGGCCCCCUGGACAAAGACUGACGCUCAGGUGCGAAAGCGUGGGGAGCAAACAGGAUUAGAUACCCUGGUAGUCCACGCUGUAAACGAUGUCGAUUUGGAGGUUGUGCCCUUGAGGCGUGGCUUCCGGAGCUAACGCGUUAAAUCGACCGCCUGGGGAGUACGGCCGCAAGGUUAAAACUCAAAUGAAUUGACGGGGGCCCGCACAAGCGGUGGAGCAUGUGGUUUAAUUCGAUGCAACGCGAAGAACCUUACCUGGUCUUGACAUCCACAGAACUUUCCAGAGAUGGAUUGGUGCCUUCGGGAACUGUGAGACAGGUGCUGCAUGGCUGUCGUCAGCUCGUGUUGUGAAAUGUUGGGUUAAGUCCCGCAACGAGCGCAACCCUUAUCCUUUGUUGCCAGCGGUCCGGCCGGGAACUCAAAGGAGACUGCCAGUGAUAAACUGGAGGAAGGUGGGGAUGACGUCAAGUCAUCAUGGCCCUUACGACCAGGGCUACACACGUGCUACAAUGGCAUAUACAAAGAGAAGCGACCUCGCGAGAGCAAGCGGACCUCAUAAAGUAUGUCGUAGUCCGGAUUGGAGUCUGCAACUCGACUCCGUGAAGUCGGAAUCGCUAGUAAUCGUAGAUCAGAAUGCUACGGUGAAUACGUUCCCGGGCCUUGUACACACCGCCCGUCACACCAUGGGAGUGGGUUGCAAAAGAAGUAGGUAGCUUAACCUUCGGGAGGGCGCUUACCACUUUGUGAUUCAUGACUGGGGUGAAGUCGUAACAAGGUAACCGAAU
This 1509-nucleotide ribosomal RNA is filed under the name Klebsiella pneumoniae. Its description in RNAcentral is "bacterial SSU rRNA". It matches the Rfam family "Bacterial small subunit ribosomal RNA". The record is from RNAcentral. Lineage: Bacteria; Pseudomonadati; Pseudomonadota; Gammaproteobacteria; Enterobacterales; Enterobacteriaceae.